ACCCGAGCCUGCGCCCCGCGCCGCACGCCACGCCGCCCGCCUCGGCUCCGCUGCUCCUGCCCCUUUCGCGGGCCCGCGAGCGCGCUUCGGGCCUUCCACGCAGUGCGGCCUGCGCGUCAGGGACUUCUUUGCGGCUUAGGAGGAUGUUGGUUUGUUUUUCCUGGGCACGUCUAGACAGGUCACCUGAGGACACUCGCUGGAAAAUAGUUACUUCGCUCACGCAGCAGCCAACAAGGGACGUGCCCUAAUUGAGUGGAAUGAAAGAUGAAUACAAUUUGAAUAAUUUUUUCCUGUGCAGAGGGAAGCUGAGUUUUAUUUGCCUGUGGAUGUGUCCUCAGUAUGUAGCAAGGUGCUGUGACACGGAAGAAUCACAUAAAGGCGUACUGCACGAGGAAGUUCCUUCUUCAGGCAACUUCUUGAAAACGGAUAAACUUCUAGGAUUUUUGUGAUUCAUUCAUUCAUUGUUAGUGCAAGAAACAGGACUGGGAAGCGUCAAGUGUCCUUUAAAGGAAGACAGAGAAACCAAGAGGCCCAAAUCUAAGGUAUUUGAUCAAAGUCAAAAGUCUGUGUCAAGAGAGCUGAGUGUGCUUACGUAAAAGAACUUUGGAAAUGAGAAAUCAACUGGUACGUUUCAGAGAUUUUCAGAAAAGUCAAGAUGGAAUAGAAGCACCCUUUGAAAGCGUAUUCUUAAUAGACCUGCAUUUAAAAAGAUUUUUUAGAGGUUAAACUUUGACGCUUUGAUAUAAAGCAUAAGUAGAACCAACCAGAAAAGAAUUUCGCCUAAAUAUGCCAUCAAGUCCCCUUCAGGAAAUGGCAUGCUGAUGCUUGUCAGCUGAGGUGGGUGGCUGGGUGUUUAUCCUCUAAACACCCCAUGUGGUCAAUUAGGAACAGCACUGACAGUACCUUUAGAUUUCAGUCUACAAGUCUUUUCAUUUUUUCUCUUGCCCCUUUAUAAUGCUUUUUGCCAGCUUAAAAGACUAAUGCCUCAGACACACUGAUGCAAUGAGACGCUAAUAUCAUAUUGCAUCAUCCGAUCCUAGGUGUGGUGCUCCUGAAACUGGUUUUUCUUGAGGUUAUGCUGCAGUAGAAAAGCACUUUGGGUAUAACACCCUGGAACUGGCCCUACUUGUCAGAUGACAAAAGUAAUUUUUGCAACUCCAUGCCUCAAUUCCACACCACUGUUCUCCCAGGGAAAGCCUGCGUGACUCUCCCGGCUGGAAUUGGGUGUGCAACAGACAUUCAUCAGUUAGGCGUGUCGUGCUGCCACUUAUGUAACAAAUGUUACAUAGCGAGGUGCACCUACAGGCAAGCUGAAGAUGACACUUCCUCCUUCAAACUGUGCUUGGAAUUUCACCUCGCUUUUAAUUGAGCAACUUCUCCAGGGACAGGAUGGUUUGGUGCAAAACUGGGAGAGGGCUACAAUCUACUCGGCUUGCUGCUGCCUGCGCCGCGGACUGCCUGGGACUGCCGGCGCCCGCCACCGCUGCCUGCCUUUUCUCCUUUGGAUGCAGGCACGCGUUCGCCAUCUUGGCCACGCUGGUCGCCAGCUCCUGACGCCGAGUGCUCUGCCCGCCUCAGCCUCCCGAGGUACUGGGACUACAGACGGAGUCUCGCUCACCCAGUGCUCGGUGUUGCCCGGGCUGGAGGGCGGUGGCGUGGUCUGGCCUCGCGGCAGCCUCUACCCCCCGGCCGCCUGCCUUGGCCUGCCAGGGUGCUGGGAUUGCAGCCCCUGCCCGGCCGCCGCCCCAUCUGGAAGGUGGGGAGCGCCUCUGCCCCGCCGCCCCGUCUGGGAGGUGAGGAGCGCCUCUGCCCGGCCGCCCCAUCUGGGAAGUGAGGAGCGCCUCUGCCCGGCCACCCACCGUCUGGGAAGUGAGGAGCGCCUCUGCCCGGCCGCCCCGUCUGGGAAGUGAGGAGCGCCUCUGCCCGGCCACCCACCGUCUGGGAAGUGAGGAGCGCCUCUGCCCGGCCGCCCCGUCUGGGAAGUGAGGAGUGCCUCUGCCCGGCCACCCAUCGUCUGGGAAGUGAGGAGCGCCUCUGCCCGGCCACCCAUCGUCUGGGAAGUGAGGAGCGCCUCUGCCCGGCCACCCUGUCUGGGAAGUGAGGAGCACCUCUGCCCGGCUGCCCCGUCUGGGAAGUGAGGAGCACCUCUGCCCGGCCACCCAUCGUCUGGGAAGUGAGGAGCGCCUCUGCCCGGCCUCCCAUCGUGUGGGAGGUGAGGAGCGCCUCUGCCCGGCCGCCCCGUCCGGGAGGAAGUGAGGAGCGCCUCUGCCCGGCCGCCCCGUCCAGGAAGAAGUGAGGAGCGCCUCUGCCCGGCCGCCCCGCCCGGGAAGAGGUGAGGAGCGCCUCUGCCCGGCCGCCCCGUCCGGGAAGAGGUGAGGAGCGCCUCUGCCCGGCCGCCCCGUCCGGGAAGAGGUGAGGAGCGCCUCUGCCCGGGCGCCCCGUCCGGGAGGAAGUGAGGAGCGCCUCUGCCCGGCCGCCCCAUCCGGGAAGAAGUGAGGAGCGCCUCUGCCCGGCCACCCAUCAUCUGGGAAGUGAGGAGCGCCUCUGCCCGGCCACCCACCGUCUGGGAAGUGAGGAGCGCCUCUGCCCGGCCGCCCCGUCUGGGAAGUGAGGAGCGCCUCUGCCCGGCCGCCCCGUCUGGGAAGUGAGCAGCGCCUCUGCCCGGCCACCCCGUCCGGGAAGAAGUGAGGAGCGCCUCUGCCCGGGCGCCCCACCCAGGAAGAAGUGAGGAGCGCCUCUGCCCGGCCGCCCCGCCCGGGAAGAAGUGAGGAGCGCCUCUGCCCGGCCGCCCCGUCUGGGAAGUGAGGAGCGCCUCUGCCCGGCCAUCCACCGUCUGGGAAGUGAGGAGCGCCUCUGCCCGGCCACCCACCGUCUGGGAAGUGAGGAGCGCCUCUGCCCGGCCGCCCCGUCUGGGAAGUGAGGAGCGCCUCUGCCCGGCCACCCACCGUCUGGGAAGUGAGGAGCGCCUCUGCCCGGCCACCCACCGUCUGGGAAGUGAGGAGCGCCUCUGCCCGGCCACCCACCGUCUGGGAAGUGAGGAGCGCCUCUGCCCGGCCGCCCCGUCUGGGAAGUGAGGAGCGCCUCUGCCCGGCCACUCAUCGUCUGGGAAGUGAGGAUCGCCUCUGCCCGGCCACCCUGUCUGGGAAGUGAGGAGCGCCUCUGCCCGGCCGCCCUGUCUGGGAAGUGAGGAGCGCCUCUGCCCGGCCACCCAUCGUCUGGGAAGUGAGGAGCGCCUCUGCCCGGCCUCCCAUCGUCUGGGAGGUGAGGAGCGCCUCUGCCCGGCCGCCCCGUCCGGGAGGAAGUGAGGAGCGCCUCUGCCCGGCCGCCCCGUCCGGGAGGAAGUGAGGAGCGCCUCUGCCCGGCCGCCCCGUCCGGGAAGAAGUGAGGAGCGCCUCUGCCCGGCCGCCCCGUCCGGGAAGAAGUGAGGAGCGCCUCUGCCCGGCCGCCCCGUCGGGAAGAAGUGAGGAGCGCCUCUGCCCGGCCGCCCCGUCCGGGAAGAAGUGAGGAGCGCCUCUGCCCGGCCGCCCCGUCUGGGAGGUGAGGAGCGCCUCUGCCCCGCCACCCAUCGUCUGGAAAGUGAGGAGCGCCUCUGCCCGGCUGCCCCAUCUGGGAAGUGAGGAGUGCCUCUGCCCGGCCACCCAUCGUCUGGGAGGUGAGGAGCGCCUCUGCCCGGCCGCCCAUCGUCUGGGAAGUGAGGAGCGCCUCUGCCCGGCCACCCAUCGUCUGGGAAGUGGGGAGCGCCUCUGCCCGACCACCCAUCGUCUGGGAAGUGAGGAGCGCCUCUGCCCGGCCACCUAUCGUCUGGGAAGAAGUGAGGAGCGUCUCUGCCUGGCCGCCCCGUCUGGGAAGUGAGGAGCCCCUCUGCCCGGCCGCCCCGUGUCUGGGUAGAAGUGAGGAGCUCCUCUGCCUGGCCGCUCCGUCUGGGAGGUCUACCACGGAGGCCAGAAGCAAUGUGGGGGCUGGAUGUGGUGGCUCACGCCUGUGGUCCCGGCACUCUGGGGGGCGAGGCGGGUUGAUCACUUCGGGCUAGGAGUUCGAGACCAGUCUGGCCAACUUGGCGAAACAUGAAGAAUACAACAGACAAACCAACCAACCAACUCAGUGACAACAAAACAGGUCUACCCUGGAGUCAUACUCUAAUUUUUUCUAUUUUCCUCCCUUUCUGAUCCUUUAUCCCACUUUCUUUUUCUUCCUCUUCCUUCUCCCUCUUCUUUGUCAAAUAGAGGAUUGAGUUAUCACUGAUCCAUAUAAA
Molecule: long non-coding RNA, 4252 nt
Organism: Symphalangus syndactylus (siamang)
Lineage: Eukaryota; Metazoa; Chordata; Mammalia; Primates; Hylobatidae
Source: RefSeq, a predicted model, not a curated record